RNAcentral lists this ribosomal RNA (400 nucleotides) under uncultured bacterium. RNAcentral describes it as "bacterial SSU rRNA". It matches the Rfam family "Bacterial small subunit ribosomal RNA", at positions 355 to 772 of the family's 1533-position model. The record is from RNAcentral.
UGGGGAAUAUUGGACAAUGGGCGAAAGCCUGAUCCAGCAAUGCCGCGUGAGUGAUGAAGGCCUUAGGGUUGUAAAGCUCUUUUACCAGGGAUGAUAAUGACAGUACCUGGAGAAUAAGCUCCGGCUAACUCCGUGCCAGCAGCCGCGGUAAUACGGAGGGAGCUAGCGUUGUUCGGAAUUACUGGGCGUAAAGCGUACGUAGGCGGCUAUUCAAGUCAGGGGUGAAAGCCUGGAGCUCAACUCCAGAACUGCCCUUGAAACUAGAUAGCUAGAAUCUUGGAGAGGUGAGUGGAAUUCCGAGUGUAGAGGUGAAAUUCGUAGAUAUUCGGAAGAACACCAGUGGCGAAGGCGACUCACUGGACAAGCAUUGACGCUGAGGUACGAAAGCGUGGGGAGCAAA